Molecule: non-coding RNA, 464 nt
Organism: Dermatophagoides farinae (American house dust mite)
Lineage: Eukaryota; Metazoa; Arthropoda; Arachnida; Sarcoptiformes; Pyroglyphidae
Source: RefSeq, a predicted model, not a curated record
CUCAAUUAGUCCAGCAAAAUAAAGUGUAAAUAGCCGAAAUACUCGCCAAAAUCGCGAUUACUCGCGGUAAUCGUGUGUAAACAAAAGUUUUCGAUUGUUUAAUUUGAUUUCGAUGUUUAACAUUUUCAUUUUUGUUUGGAUACGGAAUUAUUUCGAAUCAUAAACUAAUGGAUUAGAAUUAUAUCGAUAAAAAUGGUAAUUUGGUACAAAACGAUCCAACUAUUCCAAUCCAAAAGGUCUUCAAUGUGAUGGAAAAAAGAUUUCACAUUUCAUUUUUCUUAUUACGAAGGAAAUCUUAUAAAUUCAAAUGGCACAUUUGUGCCGGAUAAUUAUGAAUUCCCGGUAUUUGAUGAUGACUUAAACGUAUUUUGCUGAAUCCGAAUUCGAUUGCCAGCUUUAAGAUAUUGAAUUCAAUUAUUCUUUCGAUUAUCAGAUCAAUCGUUAAACAUAUUUGCGGAACAAGU